RNAcentral lists this ribosomal RNA (468 nucleotides) under uncultured bacterium. RNAcentral describes it as "partial 16S ribosomal RNA". It matches the Rfam family "Bacterial small subunit ribosomal RNA", at positions 28 to 507 of the family's 1533-position model. The record is from RNAcentral.
GACGAACGCUGGCGGCGUGCUUAACACAUGCAAGUCGAACGGAAAGGCCCUGCUUUUGUGGGGUGCUCGAGUGGCGAACGGGUGAGUAACACGUGAGUAACCUGCCCUUGACUUUGGGAUAACUUCAGGAAACUCGGGCUAAUACCGGAUAGGAGCUCCUGCUGCAUGGUUGGGGUUGUAAAGUUUCGGCGGUUGGGGAUGGACUCGCGGCUCAUCAGUUUGUUGGUGGGGUAGUGGCUUACCAAGGCUUUGACGGGUAGCCGGCAUGCGAGGGUGACCGGGCACAUUGGGACUGAGAUACGGACCAGACUCCUACGGGAGGCAGCAGUGGGGAAUAUUGCACAAUGGGCGGAAGCCUGAUGCAGCAACGCCGCGUGCGGGAUGACGGCCUUCGGGUUGUAAACCGCUUUCGCAUGUGACGAAGCGUGAGUGAAGGUAAUGGGUAAAGAAGCACCGGCUAACUACGUG